CUACGGGGCGCUCCAGUGAGGAAUAUUGCACAAUGGGGGGAAGGCUGAUGCAGCAACGCCGCGUGGAGGAGGGCUCAUUUCUUUUUUUCCCCUCCUGGGGGAGGGAAAGAAAAUGACGGUAGCAUAUGAAUAAGCACCGGCUAACUCCGUGCCAGCAGCCGCGGGAAUACGGAGGGGCAAGCGUUACUCGGAAUCACUGGGCGUAAAGGACGCGUAGGCGGGUUGGAAAGUCAGGUGUGAAAUCCUACAGCUUAACUGUAGAACUGCACUUGAAACUUCUAAUCUAGAGUAUGGGAGGGGGAGAUGGAAUUAGUGGUGUAGGGGUAAAAUCCGUAGAUAUCACUAGGAAUACCUAAAGCGAAGGCGAUCUCCUGGAACAUUACUGACGCUAAGGCGUGAAAGCGUGGGGAGCAAACAGGAUUAGAUACCCUUGUAGUC
RNAcentral lists this ribosomal RNA (438 nucleotides) under uncultured bacterium. RNAcentral describes it as "partial 16S ribosomal RNA". It matches the Rfam family "Bacterial small subunit ribosomal RNA", at positions 339 to 795 of the family's 1533-position model. The record is from RNAcentral.